GCAGGUGUAGUUUAAUGGUAAAACAUCAGCCUUCCAAGCUAAUGACGGGAGUUCGAUUCUCCUCACCUGCUCCA
Molecule: transfer RNA, 74 nt
Filed under: Mollicutes bacterium
Lineage: Bacteria; Bacillati; Mycoplasmatota; Mollicutes
Description: tRNA-Gly
Rfam family: tRNA
About the family: Transfer RNA (tRNA) molecules are approximately 80 nucleotides in length. Their secondary structure includes four short double-helical elements and three loops (D, anti-codon, and T loops).
Source: RNAcentral